Molecule: non-coding RNA, 90 nt
Organism: Mycena leptocephala
Lineage: Eukaryota; Fungi; Basidiomycota; Agaricomycetes; Agaricales; Mycenaceae
Source: the annotation of a GenBank genome assembly
GACCUGGUGGUGAAAUGUAUCACAUCUACCCUCCUUCAAUUUGGAGACUACGUGUUGUGGGAGUUCCUGGUUCGAGUCCAGGUCAGGUCA